CUAAUACUCCAUCCGUCCAACAAAAAAUGUCUCAACUUUAACUAAAUUUGAAUGCAUAUACAUUAAGUUAUGUUUAGGUACAUCUAAAUUUUGACAAACUUGAUACAUCUUUUGUUAGACGGAGGGAGUACUAG
Brachypodium distachyon (stiff brome) is the source of this 134-nucleotide non-coding RNA. Lineage: Eukaryota; Viridiplantae; Streptophyta; Magnoliopsida; Poales; Poaceae. The record is from Rfam.